Long non-coding RNA from Maniola jurtina (meadow brown), 89 nucleotides. RefSeq lists it as uncharacterized. The transcript is spliced from 3 exons. Lineage: Eukaryota; Metazoa; Arthropoda; Insecta; Lepidoptera; Nymphalidae. The record is from RefSeq and is a predicted model, not a curated record.
AAAUGCGAAUGUUUGUUGGUUUAUUCUUCAAUCAGGCCGCAAUACAGCAACGGAUUGGCGUGAGUUUUUGCAUGGUUAUAGUUAGGAAC